CAUUAACACAAUGGUGAGGAAUGCCUGAGCUAGUGUUUAUUUUAUAUCAUAUACCAACAUUAUUGCAGCUGGUGCAUUUAUCAGUGGCAAUUCUAAAUGUGUUACAUCUGUUGCUUCAAUAAAUCAUUAAUUUUUCAGUCCUUGGGUGGACUCUGACCGGCAAACAGCAAAACUAUUAACACAACAACUACCAGAAAGCAAAUCUCCAUCUAGCUGUGUGCCCUGUGAUGUCACCAGAGAGUCACAGUCACCCCAUGACCUCACAGUGUGCCUAGAAAUGCCCCGAGCACCCUGAGCAGCUGCAUUAAGCCAUAACCACACUGGUGUUUCUUCUGUCCAGGAGCACAGCAGCAUAGGUAGUGAAUCAACAACCUUUCUCAAAGAGGAAAAAAGAAAACUAGCAUGUAUGGCUAGAAAGUGGCUAGAUGGUGUCACAGAACUCAAGAAUGAGAAAGUUCUGAGAAUACAACCUCACACUGCACCUCCUGGUGAAGAAUGAGACCAUCUUGUUUGAAGGUAGUAGGAAGACUGUGACUUCUUGCUCAUAAUGUGGAAUUUACUCUUUCCUAAAAUCAAUCUCAAUUUGUUCCUUCCUGCUCUAAGGAUACAGGUGAAGGGCUGGCUUCUUUUUUUCACUCCAGUGUUACUCCACUGUCUGCAGUGGAAUUACACACAAUUGAUACUAGCUCAAGAAAGAAGAGAAUAAAGCCCUCCUCCUG
Molecule: long non-coding RNA, 719 nt
Filed under: Gallus gallus (chicken)
Lineage: Eukaryota; Metazoa; Chordata; Aves; Galliformes; Phasianidae
Description: long non-coding RNA NONGGAT009203
Source: RNAcentral